UAAAGGGCGUGUAGGCGGAGGAGCAAGUCAGAUGUGAAAUCCCGGGGCUUAACCCCGGAACUGCAUUUGAAACUGUUUCCCUUGAGUAUCGGAGAGGCAAGCGGAAUUCCUAGUGUAGCGGUGAAAUGCGUAGAUAUUAGGAGGAACACCAGCGGCGAAGGCGGCCAACUGGGCUUUUACUGACGCUGAGGCUCGAAAGUGUGGGGAGCAAACAGGAUUAGAUACCCUGGUAGUCCACACCGUAAACGAUGAUUACUAGGUGUGGGGGGACUGACCCCUUCCGUGCCGGAGUUAACACAAUAAGUAAUCCACCUGGGGAGUACGGCCGCAAGGUUGAAACUCAAAGGAAUUGACGGGGGCCCGCACAAGCGGAGGAACAUGUGGUUUAAUUCGAUGAUACGCGAGGAACCUUACCCGGGCUUGAACUGCAGGAGAACGAUUCAGAGAUGAUGAGGCCCUUCGGGGCUCCUGUGGAGGUGCUGCAUGGUUGUCGUCAGCUCGUGCCGUGAGGUGUCGGCUUAAGUGCCAUAACGAGCGCAACCCCUCUCUUCAGUUGCCAUCAGGUUAAGCUGGGCACUCUGGAGACACUGCCACCGCAAGGUGUGAGGAAGGUGGGGAUGACGUCAAAUCAGCACGGCCCUUACGUCCGGGGCUACACACGUGUUACAAUGGGUGAUACAGAGCGUCGGCUUGCCGCAAGGAGAGUCCAAUCGCGAAAGUCAUCCUCAGUUCGGACUGGGGUCUGCAACCCGACCCCACGAAGCUGGAUUCGCUAGUAAUCGCGC
RNAcentral lists this ribosomal RNA (785 nucleotides) under uncultured Bacteroidota bacterium. RNAcentral's name for it is "bacterial SSU rRNA". It matches the Rfam family "Bacterial small subunit ribosomal RNA", at positions 561 to 1347 of the family's 1533-position model. The record is from RNAcentral. Lineage: Bacteria; Pseudomonadati; Bacteroidota.